CCCUUUGUGACAUACCUACAACUGUUGCUUCGGCGGGUAGGCCGUCCCCUGAAAAGGACGCCUCCCGGCCCGGACCGGACCCCCCGCGGGACCGGACCCGGCGCCCGCCGGAGGAUAACCAAACUCUAUUGUAACGACGUUUCUUCUGAGUGGCAUAAGCAAAAUAAUCAAAACUUUUAACAACGGAUCUCUUGGUUCUGGCAUCGAUGAAGAACGCAGCGAAAUGCGAUAAGUAAUGUGAAUUGCAGAAUUCAGUGAAUCAUCGAAUCUUUGAACGCACAUUGCGCCCGCCAGCAUUCUGGCGGGCAUGCCUGUUCGAGCGUCAUUUCAACCCUCAAGCUCUGCUUGGUGUUGGGGCUCUACGGUCGACGUAGGCCCUCAAAGGUAGUGGCGGACCCUCCCGGAGCCUCCUUUGCGUAGUAACAUUUCGUCUCGCACUGGGAUCCGGAGGGACUCUUGCCGUAAAACCCCCCAAUUUUCCAAAGGUUGACCUCGGAUCAGGUAGGAAUACCCGCUGAACUUAAGCAUAUCAAUA
RNAcentral lists this ribosomal RNA (535 nucleotides) under Colletotrichum karsti. RNAcentral describes it as "eukaryotic LSU rRNA". The stretch from base 172 to 325 matches the Rfam family "5.8S ribosomal RNA". The record is from RNAcentral. Lineage: Eukaryota; Fungi; Ascomycota; Sordariomycetes; Glomerellales; Glomerellaceae.